UACAGAGGUCCCCAGCGUUUUUCGGAAUUACUGGGCGUAAAGCGCGUGUAGGCUGCUCGGACAGGCGGAUGUGAAAGCCCUGGGCUCAACCCAGGAAGUGCACUCGAAACUCCCGAGCUGGAGUCCCGGAGAGGAAGGCGGAAUUCUCGGUGUAGAGGUGAAAUUCGUAGAUAUCGAGAGGAACAUCGGUGGCGAAGGCGGCCUUCUGGACGGUGACUGACGCUGAGACGCGAAAGCGUGGGGAGCAAACAGG
This 253-nucleotide ribosomal RNA is filed under the name uncultured bacterium. RNAcentral describes it as "partial 16S ribosomal RNA". It matches the Rfam family "Bacterial small subunit ribosomal RNA", at positions 524 to 776 of the family's 1533-position model. The record is from RNAcentral.